This 443-nucleotide ribosomal RNA is filed under the name uncultured Leptotrichia sp. Its description in RNAcentral is "bacterial SSU rRNA". It matches the Rfam family "Bacterial small subunit ribosomal RNA", at positions 338 to 795 of the family's 1533-position model. The record is from RNAcentral. Lineage: Bacteria; Fusobacteriati; Fusobacteriota; Fusobacteriia; Fusobacteriales; Leptotrichiaceae.
CCUACGGGAGGCAGCAGUGGGGAAUAUUGGACAAUGGGGGCAACCCUGAUCCAGCAAUUCUGUGUGCACGAAGAAGGUUUUCGGAUCGUAAAGUGCUUUCAGCAGGGAGGAAGAAAGUGACUGUACCUGCAGAAGAAGCGACGGCUAAAUACGUGCCAGCAGCCGCGGUAAUACGUAUGUCGCGAGCGUUAUCCGGAAUUAUUGGGCAUAAAGGGCAUCUAGGCGGCCAGAUAAGUCCGAGGUGAAAACUGCCGGCUCAACCAGCAGCUUGCCUUGGAAACUACCUGGCUAGAGUAUUGGAGAGGUGGACGGAACUACACGAGUAGAGGUGAAAUUCGUAGAUAUGUGUAGGAAUGCCGAUGAUGAAGAUAGUUCACUGGACGAUAACUGACGCUGAAGUGCGAAAGCUAGGGGAGCGAACAGGAUUAGAUACCCGGGUAGUC